ACAUCUUCCUUUUUGGAAAUUUACUGAGUUUCUGUGUUUUAUGAUGCUGACCCAGCAGCUAUAACCAGGGCACUUUUGUCUUCUGCCUUUGCCAAAGAUGGCUCACAAUCAGGGCUGUGGUGCCAUCAUUAUCAUCAUCAUCAUCAUCACCACCAUCGUCACAUCAUCUUCACCAUCUUCAAUACCAUCACCAUAAUGAUGAGGCUUUUAUUCUGAAGCUCUGUUGUUUUCAAUGAAAAGACAUGGUCCCUACCCAAAAGGAACUUACAACACAAAUGAGAAAAAUUGAGCCAAAAUAAGACCGAAAACCCGGUAACAUGUAGAAUGAUGAUGACGGUGAUGAUAAGAAACAGCAAUUUA
Molecule: long non-coding RNA, 360 nt
Organism: Myotis brandtii (Brandt's bat)
Lineage: Eukaryota; Metazoa; Chordata; Mammalia; Chiroptera; Vespertilionidae
Exons: 2
Source: RefSeq, a predicted model, not a curated record